CUCCAGUUGCUAACACCGCCGUUCUGCCCCACUCGUAAUCAUGUUUCCUUAAUAUCCACCUUUUCAAAUAGUGCCUUUUUUCAGAGUCUCCACCAUUAGCCUUUUCGAGGGAGCCGUCCAUAUCCUGCCAGGACCCUGACCAGUUCAACACUAUAAUUUAGGCAUAGCUGGUGUGGCCGUACAGCAGCACAGUGUGACCCUUUCAUCCCCAGAGUUGCAAGAUGGAUAAGUCCGCCUCCAGGUAUCCAGGCUAGAUUUCAGACUGGAAGAAAUGCAAAAGGCACCAGACGGCUAUUUGCCAGGAACACAAUAGCCUGUUAAGAAGUCACAGACAGCAGGAUGUCUGAGGAGGCGAUCUGUGGAUCAAAUGGACUUGCCACAACCAAAGAUAAAUACAGGAUCACUAUGUCUGUUAGCGAACACACUGGGUCAAGUUGCACUUUCAAACAGAGUCCACAUCCUGGGAGUAAAGAGAAAAGUGGAAUAGCAGAAUGUUCAGCCUGCUCCAAAGAAAAAUGGCACACUUGCUGAAUCGUCCGAGGGAUUCGGGAUAGAAAUAUGUAAGAGAACACCACCAGAGCAGCGGAUAACUCCAUACAAACAGGGCCCAGAUGCUGGACGCCCCCAGCUGAAGAAUGCCGAAGCCCUGGGCGUAGUUUCACCCAUAGAGUUGUACCUAGAGAUCCUCGUAUGGGAAGCAUGCCUCAAGUAAGGAACAGGCGUGAAGUGCUGAUGGCAAUUCCAGUCCUGGCUUCCUCAAGUUGGUGACUCUAGGACUCUUAGGACUCUAACAUUCUUUUUUUUUUUUUUNAUUAUAUUUAUUUAUUUGACAGACAGAUCACAAGUAGGCAGAGAGAGAAAGAGAGAGAGAGGGGAGGAAGCAGGCUCCCUGCUGAGCAGAAAGCCCGAUUCGGGGCUCGAUCCCAGGAUCCUGAGAUCAUGACCUGAGCCGAAGGCAGAGGCUUUAACCCGCUGAGCCACCCAGGCACUCCUGGGACUCUAACAUUCUUAAAAGCCUCAGUUUGCUGAUCUGCAAAUUGGGGUGAACAACAUCUCUGUUCAACUUACCUAGCAGGAAUGUUAUGAGAAGAAAAUGAAAUAGAAGAUGUGAAGAUGCUUUGUCAUUGUUCAAAGUUCUACACAAAGGGAAGCUAUUCCCGAUACUCCCACUCUCCAAGUUCAAGUCUGAAAAAACAAACAAACCCACUAAACCCUUUAGAACUGCACUGUUCAAUACAAUAGCCACUAGGACACUGAUUACUGAGCAUUUAAAAUGUGGCUAGUACAACCGAGGAACUGGAUUUUAAAUUUUACUUAGUGUUAAUGAAUUUAAGUUGAAAACCUGACACUUGAUUCGGUUAUUUGCAAACUUAUAAGUAUGCUUGGAACAACCUGAAUAUGUGAGCCUAAAUUUUAAACUAUAAAUUAUAUGAAAUCUAAAUAUGUAUCAACUGUUUCUGAUGAAAUUUAGUGUUUGAAUUGAGAUGUACCGCAAGUGUAAGAUACACACCAGACUUCAGACUUAUUACAC
RNAcentral lists this long non-coding RNA (1531 nucleotides) under Neogale vison (American mink). Its description in RNAcentral is "Neovison vison (American mink) lncRNA (ENSNVIG00000010699.1)". Lineage: Eukaryota; Metazoa; Chordata; Mammalia; Carnivora; Mustelidae. The record is from RNAcentral.